This 1263-nucleotide long non-coding RNA is filed under the name Anser cygnoides (Swan goose). RNAcentral's name for it is "lncRNA (ENSACDG00005009899.1)". Lineage: Eukaryota; Metazoa; Chordata; Aves; Anseriformes; Anatidae. The record is from RNAcentral.
GCUCUAGAGAUUUCUCUUAAUUUCUCUGACCUCAUUUCAACAUAGGAAGUCAAGCUGACGCCUAAUUUAGUGCAUUAGCCAUUUCACUGAAGUCAACGGGGUUGAUUGCAAACUCUCAUGAGUAUGUCCCUAUGCAUCCCUGCCAGGCAAAAAUGCAAUGUCUCUGCACUUCACAAAUCCCGAAUGCUUAGGGCACUUAAACAGGUAUUUUAUAUCUCUCAGUAGUUCCUUUAGUUUCAGGGAAUGUCUUGGGCUUAAAAUUAAGCACAUGCUUAAAUGAUUUGCAAUCUAUUCUAAAUUACAUAAGAGUAGUAAUUUGCAAUUAUUCAGAACAAAAUCAAAGAACUUGUGAAGUGCAUUGAAUUCCUUAAUAAUUUGUGAAAGUUAGUGCAAGAGCAAACAACAUGGUAGAUAGGAGAAAAGUCUGUUCUCAGGAAGGUGAUCUGAGCAAAGGCUUGGAAAUCAUUGCUUCAGCUGGCUGCAUGGAUCAGCCUCCUUGGUAAGGCACAGGAUAUAAGUUGUUGCAACAGUGACAGGAAUUUUCCUGGCUUCAAUGCAUUGGAAAUUUCCCAUUAGAUGUUUAUCCAGAUUUAACUCAAGGUCUGCACAUGAAUUAUUCAGGCCGUGCCUGGGGCUGUCAUUCACCUUCCCUACAAGCAGCCAGAGGCAAAUGAAGCAUGACUUACUGCCAGAAAGCAAGCAGUUUGAUCUCUGGAAUUGUGAUCUGAAGAUGUUUGAUCAAAGUGGAAAGACAAUUGGGUGGGUGCAAAUAAGAAACACCAAAGGAAAGUGGAACAAAACACUGCUUUCAUUUCAAAGGACUCUUUGAGAAUGUUUCACUGUCUCUAGAGCUGGAGGACUAAGAAUGAAAAAAAUACAUCUGGAUUGAUGGAUGCAUUAUUGGAUUGUGCUUUAGGAUAAGAAAUGGAAGAUGGCCUGCUUUUGAUGAACCUAAGAAUACAAAAAUGUCAACUGGAAUACCAAUGCAGAAAAAUGUGAGCUGUUAAGGAAAAACAAAUGAUCCAAAUGUGUUCAUUUAUCUUUAGCUAUUUUAUUAUUAUUUUAAAUGUCUAAACCAAUAUAAUAAGUAGGUUUGUGUUCUUUUCUAAAUUUAUUCCUACACUCUUCUCUAACACUCAUGACCCAAGAUCUAAAAAAGAAAAGUUACUCAUAUUUCUUAAACUUUUUUCCACAUCUGAGUUAGACUUAGAUGUGUUUAAAGUAGAAAAUAAAUAAUUUUUCAGUGUCUUGUGACUAAAAUAU